Molecule: ribosomal RNA, 263 nt
Filed under: uncultured Streptococcus sp.
Lineage: Bacteria; Bacillati; Bacillota; Bacilli; Lactobacillales; Streptococcaceae
Description: partial 16S ribosomal RNA
Rfam family: Bacterial small subunit ribosomal RNA
Source: RNAcentral
CCAUCAUUCAGUUGGGCACUCUAGCGAGACUGCCGGUAAUAAACCGGAGGAAGGUGGGGAUGACGUCAAAUCAUCAUGCCCCUUAUGACCUGGGCUACACACGUGCUACAAUGGUUGGUACAACGAGUUGCGAGUCGGUGACGGCGAGCUAGUCUCUUAAAGCCAAUCUCAGUUCGGAUUGUAGGCUGCAACUCGCCUACAUGAAGUCGGAAUCGCUAGUAAUCGCGGAUCAGCACGCCGCGGUGAAUACGUUCCCGGGCCUU